This 322-nucleotide ribosomal RNA is filed under the name uncultured fungus. RNAcentral describes it as "eukaryotic LSU rRNA". The stretch from base 1 to 71 matches the Rfam family "5.8S ribosomal RNA", at positions 84 to 154 of the family's 154-position model. The record is from RNAcentral. Lineage: Eukaryota; Fungi.
GUGAGUCAUCGAGUCUUUGAACGCACAUUGCGCCCUUUGGUAUUCCGAAGGGCAUGCCUGUUCGAGCGUCAUUAUCACCCCUCAAGCCCGGCUUGCUGUUGGUGGUGGCGCGGCCCCCUCCCGGGCCGCCGCCCCGCUCCAAACGAAUAAUGUCGGCGUCUGUGAGGACUCCUGUACACUGAGCUUUCGGGCACGUACACGGUUAGAAAUUCAGACGCCGGUCGCCGCCUUCCCCCCGGGGGAGGCACACCUUUCAUCACCAAGGUUGACCUCGGAUCAGGUAGGGAUACCCGCUGAACUUAAGCAUAUCAAUAAGGCGAGG